GAUGAACGCUGGCGGCGUGCCUAAUACAUGCAAGUCGAGCGAACGGACGAGAAGCUUGCUUCUCUGAUGUUAGCGGCGGACGGGUGAGUAACACGUGGAUAACCUACCUAUAAGACUGGGAUAACUUCGGGAAACCGGAGCUAAUACCGGAUAAUAUUUUGAACCGCAUGGUUCAAAAGUGAAAGACGGUCUUGCUGUCACUUAUAGAUGGAUCCGCGCUGCAUUAGCUAGUUGGUAAGGUAACGGCUUACCAAGGCAACGAUGCAUAGCCGACCUGAGAGGGUGAUCGGCCACACUGGAACUGAGACACGGUCCAGACUCCUACGGGGGCAGCAGUAGGGAAUCUUCCGCAAUGGGCGAAAGCCUGACGGAGCAACGCCGCGUGAGUGAUGAAGGUCUUCGGAUCGUAAAACUCUGUUAUUAGGGAAGAACAUAUGUGUAAGUAACUGUGCACAUCUUGACGGUACCUAAUCAGAAAGCCACGGCUAACUACGUG
This 496-nucleotide ribosomal RNA is filed under the name uncultured bacterium. RNAcentral describes it as "partial 16S ribosomal RNA". It matches the Rfam family "Bacterial small subunit ribosomal RNA", at positions 28 to 507 of the family's 1533-position model. The record is from RNAcentral.